This is a long non-coding RNA of Teleopsis dalmanni, 111 nucleotides long. RefSeq lists it as uncharacterized. The transcript is spliced from 2 exons. The record is from RefSeq and is a predicted model, not a curated record. Lineage: Eukaryota; Metazoa; Arthropoda; Insecta; Diptera; Diopsidae.
AUUUCUCAUAGACUCAACCUACAAAACAGCAGAUAUGUAUGGAUUUGUUAAUUAUGCUUUGGAACUGCUGGUGCUAAAGCAUUUUGGAGAGGAAAUAUGGGAAAAAAUAAA